CGUAGGUGUGAUCAUGUUAAAAGCACAGGUGGGAGUGUGCUUGGAGAGGCCCCAGGGCUCCCCUUCACCAGACACCAGCUUCUCUCCAGGGUCCCAUUCGGGGCUAGCUUGCUGUUGGCCUCAGUUGAGUGGUGGCCCCUUUGGGAUUAGGAUAGAAGGAUAUAGCUUGAGGAUCAUAAGAGGUUGGAUGUUCCAGCUCUGGGGCAUUAAGCUCAGGAAUUUGAAAAAGGCUGCUAUAUUUAGUCGGGUUACUGCAUUUCUUGUUCCUCUUUGCCCCUGCCUACCUUGUCUAAGCCCACACUGUCCUGCCCUUCCUCUGAGAUGAUGGAGGAAGCUGAGGCCUCCGUGCCCUUUGCACUGCUGUCUGCAGCUCUCCGGUUGUGCUGUGUGCUGUACAUAGUGGUCACUGCACUGAGAAAUCUCUCUCAAAUCUAAAGUCUUACCCCCUCGAGAAGGGUUCUGCCUUGCUUGGUGGUGUACUUUCCACUGACCUCUGCCUUGGGAGAGUCUGUCUGGAAAUCGUGUACACUUCACCUGCUUUGUGGCGUCCUGUGCUCUGCUGCUUUACCUGUAU
This 574-nucleotide long non-coding RNA is filed under the name Rattus norvegicus (Norway rat). RNAcentral's name for it is "long non-coding RNA NONRATT025464". The record is from RNAcentral. Lineage: Eukaryota; Metazoa; Chordata; Mammalia; Rodentia; Muridae.